Molecule: ribosomal RNA, 497 nt
Filed under: uncultured bacterium
Lineage: Bacteria
Description: partial 16S ribosomal RNA
Rfam family: Bacterial small subunit ribosomal RNA
Source: RNAcentral
GAUGAACGCUGGCGGCGUGCCUAACACAUGCAAGUCGAGCGAACGGACGAGAAGCUUGCCUCUCUGAUGUUAGCGGCGGGCGGGUGAGUUACACGUGGACAACCUACCUAUAAGACUGGGGUAACUCCGGAAAACCGUAACUAAUACCUGCUAAUUUUUUGAACCGCAUGGUUCAAAAGUGAAAGACGGUCUUGCUGUUACUCAUAGAUGGAUCCGCGCUGGAUUAGCUAGUUGGUAAGGUAACGGCUUACCAAGGCAACGAUGAGUAGCCGGCCUGAGAGGGUGACCAGCCACACUGGAACUGAGACACGGCCCAGACUCCUACGGGAGGCAGCAGUGGGGAAUGUUCCGCAAUGGGCGAAAGCCUGACGGAGCAACGCCGCGUGAGUGAAGAAGGCCUUCGGAUCGUAAAGCUCUGUUAUUAGGGAAGAACAUAUGUGUAAGUAACUGUGCACGUCUUGACGGUACCUGAUCAGAAAGCAACGGCUAACUACGUG